This is a long non-coding RNA of Lathyrus oleraceus (garden pea), 817 nucleotides long. RefSeq lists it as uncharacterized. The record is from RefSeq and is a predicted model, not a curated record. The transcript has 2 exons. Lineage: Eukaryota; Viridiplantae; Streptophyta; Magnoliopsida; Fabales; Fabaceae.
UUAAUUAAUUAAGUAAAGGUUAAAUUAAGAAAUAUCAAAACAUAAUGGAGCAGGAGGUACAAGCUUCAUAUCUAAGGUGCCAACAAAGCUGGUUUGGGCCCAGAAUACCUUGAAGAUGUGAAACGCACAACUGGAAAAUGCUUCAACAAAGAUUUCACGCAAAGUGAACCACGAUCUGACCCCGGUGUCGCUGUCCCCAAGGCGAAAUUCAGAUCAAACCGCAACUCCAUCGGCAUCACGUCCAACACCAGUUGAAUCUGAACUCAACAACCGUUUUUGCAAACGUAAUUCCACGUCUUCAAUUGAUCCCUUCGUAUUUCGAUUCAACACGGUUCGAAUUCGGUGCUUCGCUUUUGGUUCGAGCUCGAAAAUAUGAAUUGAAGGAAAAAGCAUGAAGAAUUCUAAUAAAUCAACGCGACAUACCUACGGAAAUGGUUUCGGCUUCGCCGCUGACGCGUACGGGUGCGUGAGAGGGGGAGAAAGCUCGAGAGUGCAACUUGGAGGACUUGAGAGAUGUUAGCAAUCAGAGCCUGAAGAAAAGUUGAGAGUGAAGAUUGAAGCAUACAGAAAGGAGGUUCUGUUUGGAGAAUGAAGCUGAAACAAAAUGGUAGAAGAGUGAAGGAUGAAGAAUAAUAAAUGUUGAAGAAGAGAUUGAAGACCGAAGAAAAAAAUCCCCAAAGAGCGGUAAGUGAAGUGUUAUUUAUAGAAUUCCCAAAAUUGGAUAUGGUUUUUUCAAAUUGAUUUUCAUUUUAAUUGGAUUUUGAUCUUUAAAUUGAUUAUUUCAAUUUCUAGAUUAAUUUUAAAUUAUUUUAACCAA